This 358-nucleotide long non-coding RNA is filed under the name Nicotiana benthamiana. RNAcentral's name for it is "long non-coding RNA (NBEN_LNC035809)". Lineage: Eukaryota; Viridiplantae; Streptophyta; Magnoliopsida; Solanales; Solanaceae. The record is from RNAcentral.
UAAAAUGUUACGAAACAGCUUUGGACGAACUAGGUUUCCCAAUUCAGAUAUGAAAUUGAAGGCGCUGGAAAAGGUUUUUGGGGUUAUUAUCGAUAGAUUUGAGAAGAGAAGAAUGCAGGGGUUUCCUUGUACCAAUUUGAGGCGGUUUGUAGUGAUUGGGUUUUAGACCCCUAUUUUGGAUCUUAAAUUCGAGCAGGCUGAGAGAGAUUCGAGAGGAGCUGCUUUGGGUCUUAGCAAGAGGAAAGUGAGGAGAUUGUUUGGUGUUAAUUUGGGGGUGAGAUGAGGCGGUGCCGCCAGGUUUCCCGGUGGUGGGAAUUUAGGGGCGAUUAGGUUCUGAUGUCUAUGAACUUGAGAGUGA